UUCUCUCCAAAGAACCACAUAAACUUGAGCAAAUCUGAUUGUUCAAAGCCCCCUCAGAUCCUAACCUUAUUGGAGGCGAAGUGUAUAUUAUCUACCCAAGAAAAGCAUUCUAUGUUGCAUUCUUGAGUGCAGUAUUGGUGAGCCUUGAUGAAUGGUUUAGUUGGAGGAGAGCAUGACUUGAGACAAUUACUCCUAUUGUAAAGCAUUACUCCUAUUUGAAAAUGUGGAGUAGGCACUGAAAUGAGACUUUGAUGAAAGGAAGAACACAACAUUUAGCAAAGCCAAGAAUUUAAUCAACAAUAGCUUUGAUUCAUCACAGAUGAAGUUCUACUCAUUCUUGGCAAAUUUGCAUCAUGUGGUACCACAUGCCUUGAAACUGACAUCACAUACAAAACUUUGCAUUGAAAAAUAAAUAAAAUAAAUAAAUUUAAUAAAAAUUAAA
Molecule: long non-coding RNA, 442 nt
Filed under: Physcomitrium patens
Lineage: Eukaryota; Viridiplantae; Streptophyta; Bryopsida; Funariales; Funariaceae
Description: long non-coding RNA (PPAT_LNC002834)
Source: RNAcentral